RNAcentral lists this long non-coding RNA (756 nucleotides) under Brassica napus (rape). RNAcentral's name for it is "long non-coding RNA (BNAP_LNC007896)". Lineage: Eukaryota; Viridiplantae; Streptophyta; Magnoliopsida; Brassicales; Brassicaceae. The record is from RNAcentral.
UCAAAACGGUUCUUCAUCUUCUUCUUCCUCGAUUGGCUCCCUUUGGACCCCACGUCCCUGCAUACCUUAGAAAGACUCAUUGAAUAACAGGAGGAAACACAUCGAUUUGAAGGUCUAUACGUUAAAAUUAUUCUGAAAAUUUCAACUGAUAUUUUAGAAAAGAGUUAAGCUAUCAUAACAAAUGCUACAAAUCUAAAUAUGGUUACAACACUUCAUUCUCUUUCUGGCACAAAUCUCCUUUUAAAAAAAAAAAUUCGCAACUUUAAACAACUUCAAGGUAUGUUAUGUGCAUCUGAUGAACAUAUUCCAAUCUCAGUAUUCUAGAAAACAUGGAAAACAACCGUCACAACUAUCUUGGUCCUCACCAUGGGUUGCGCUGGGGGAGAUCGAAGCUGAACUAACAGCGAUAUUGAAGGAGACAACGCCGAGAUUGGACAUGUCGGAAUACACAACCGAGUCUGUGAGAAACGUAUGUAGUAAUAAGAAACAGAGGAGGAGCAUGUCCACACUCAUAACUCAUAAGCUCUCCACCUUUCUUGACAUUCUUAGCCUCCCAGAAUCUCAACAGAGACCUCGGUGGUGUUUAAUCAUCCGCCAGCUUACAAACCGGCGAGCAUAACAUAUGAAGUCGACAUAGAUGGAGGUGAUGCGUGACAGAGUUUAAUCAUAUCAGACCGCGGAGAUGUUCAUCGCAUCUGAACGGACUAAUUUAUAGCUCGGGUUGUAGUGGUCACCUUCAACGAUAAUGAAGCUGAG